GGCUGGAUAGCUCAGUUGGUAGAGCACUGGUUUAGUAAUCCGGCGACGAAGGUUCAAACCCUGCUCCAGCAA
Non-coding RNA from Patiria miniata (bat star), 72 nucleotides. The record is from the annotation of a RefSeq genome assembly. Lineage: Eukaryota; Metazoa; Echinodermata; Asteroidea; Valvatida; Asterinidae.